This is a long non-coding RNA of Homo sapiens (human), 976 nucleotides long. Ensembl annotates it as long intergenic non-protein coding RNA 1120. The record is from Ensembl. Lineage: Eukaryota; Metazoa; Chordata; Mammalia; Primates; Hominidae.
AACUGCCACUGGGUUUCAACUGCCACCUGGGAGACUGCUGGUAAAGAUGGGAGGUGGCCUUUGCCGCUUUCCAUCUUCUCACUGCAGUUUCUUCACGUGGGCCACUUGUACUUAAAAUGUCUUCUUAAUUUAUUCUUUUUACUUCCCCAGCUCCAAUUUGUCUACAGAUUUACAAAUUUGUUUUAUAGUUUUAUGACUCAAUUUGUAUUUUCGGUCCUAUGAAGCUUUUUGCCUUAAAUAUUUUUCUCUGUUUAUAAGAAUGUGCUGUUUCCUAGGCCAGUUUUGUACACACUCUUCCAUAGAAUAGAUCCAGAAGAAACACAACAAUACUGCCUUCAUCAUAUCAGGAGAUCUUGAUACCAAAUACGGUAAGAGACAUUCCAUGAAAGGGGGAUUACAGGCCAAAGUCUUCUGAAUAGAGAUGUGAAAAUCUUAAAUCAGAUAUCGGAACAUCUUAAAUCCAGAGUUUUUUAAGAAAAUAAACAGAUUUUCUGAUGGGAAACAUAAUAGCCUAGUUAAGAGGUUUCGAGGGAUUGUUUUAAAUUAAAGACAUUUUUAAAAGAUAAAUACAAUCAGGUGGAUAUAAAAAGUUACAAAAUAGAAAAAAUCAUUAGAGGUUAUAAAAGGUUUAUGAAAAUCUUACUUUGUAGUCAAAAUUGACUAGGGUAAGUGAUUUAUUUACAAGGUCUUAUUAAAAUUAGCUACAAUAUUAAAAAUACACUAAUACCAAACUAAAAUUUUGAUUUAAAAAAUAAGCUUUUCUUAAGAUAUUAAUUUGUUCUCAAUGAAAUUACAAGAGGUAAUAAUUUUUCAUUCUGAAAUCUAUUAUUUUUUAAACUUCUCAGAUUUAUACCUCAGAAGUUCGACUUUUACUGUGUCUCUUUACACGUAAUUUACAGGUCCCAUAUUAUUGCCUUUUGUUUCUUUUCUCCUGGAAAAGGUGCAUCUUUUCCAGGCUGGGAUGAUAACUCUCUCC